GCGGCCGCGACCCCGACGGCUUCCUGCGCGUGGAGCGCGUCGCGGCUCUGGGACUGCGCUUCGGCCAGGGCGAGGAGGUCCUUCUGAGCGGUCUGCAUAUCCACCCUUGUCUGGGGGAGAGAGCUGCCAGAAUCCGGCCCCAGGCUCCCCACCCAACCCCCCGCUGCGGAGACCAAGAUGCAAGGGUCUGUGUACGCCCUGCUGGGCCGGGCCAGGGGGUGAAAGGGACCGGUAGGGGUGCUCUGCAGCCUUGGCUCCUCGGCUGCACCCACCCUGCCUAGACACGGAAGGAGGUGUCUGCUGGGGCCACCGUGUAUUCCCGGGCCAGUGCCGGGUGACCUCUCAUUCAGGCUCUGCUGGGCAGCCAGGCUGGCAGCUGGCUGUGUUGGUUGCAGCAGGCCAGGCAAAGCCAGGCUCGGGGAGUGGUGGCUGAGCAGAAGGCUUUCAUGUGGC
This 453-nucleotide small RNA is filed under the name Pongo abelii (Sumatran orangutan). RNAcentral describes it as "processed transcript". The record is from RNAcentral. Lineage: Eukaryota; Metazoa; Chordata; Mammalia; Primates; Hominidae.